This 70-nucleotide transfer RNA is filed under the name Parapsyche elsis. RNAcentral's name for it is "tRNA-Lys". Lineage: Eukaryota; Metazoa; Arthropoda; Insecta; Trichoptera; Hydropsychidae. The record is from RNAcentral.
CACCUGAUAACUUAAAGUAAGUAAUGAUCUCUUAAAUCAUGCCAUAAUAAUUCACGUAUAUUUCAGAUGA